GCGGUAAUAGCUCAGUUGGUAGAGCACGACCUUGCCAAGGUCGGGGUCGCGAGUUCGAGCCUCGUUUACCGCUC
This 74-nucleotide transfer RNA is filed under the name Bacteroidetes bacterium ADurb.BinA104. RNAcentral's name for it is "tRNA-Gly". It matches the Rfam family "tRNA". Rfam says of the family: Transfer RNA (tRNA) molecules are approximately 80 nucleotides in length. Lineage: Bacteria; Pseudomonadati; Bacteroidota. The record is from RNAcentral.